This 264-nucleotide ribosomal RNA is filed under the name uncultured bacterium. RNAcentral describes it as "partial 16S ribosomal RNA". It matches the Rfam family "Bacterial small subunit ribosomal RNA", at positions 88 to 354 of the family's 1533-position model. The record is from RNAcentral.
CCGGCGACCGGCGGACGGGUGCGUAACGCGUAUGUAACCUACCUUUGACAGGGGGAUAACAUCGAGAAAUUGGUACUAAUACCCCAUAACAUCACCGGAGGCAUCUUCGGUGGUUGAAAACUCAGGUGGUCAGAGAUGGACAUGCGUGUAUUAGCUAGUUGGUGAGGUAACGGCUCACCAAGGCGACGAUACAUAGGGGGACUGAGAGGUCAACCCCCCACAUUGGUACUGAGACACGGACCAAACUCCUACGGAAGGCAGCAG